Molecule: ribosomal RNA, 253 nt
Filed under: uncultured prokaryote
Description: partial 16S ribosomal RNA
Rfam family: Bacterial small subunit ribosomal RNA
Source: RNAcentral
ACAGAGGGGGCAAGCGUUGUUCGGAAUUACUGGGCGUAAAGGGUGCGCAGGCGGUUCUGUAAGUCAGAUGUGAAAUCCCCGGGCUUAACCUGGGAAUUGCGUUUGAAACUACAGAGCUGGAGUGUGGCAGAGGGGGGUGGAAUUCCAUGUGUAGCAGUGAAAUGCGUAGAGAUAUGGAAGAACAUCGUUGGCGAAGGCAACCCCCUGGGUUAACACUGACGCUCAUGCACGAAAGCGUGGGGAGCAAACAGGA